Molecule: ribosomal RNA, 446 nt
Filed under: uncultured bacterium
Lineage: Bacteria
Description: bacterial SSU rRNA
Rfam family: Bacterial small subunit ribosomal RNA
Source: RNAcentral
CCAGACUCCUACGGGAGGCAGCAGUGGGGAAUAUUGCACAAUGGGGGAAACCCUGAUGCAGCGACGCCGCGUGAGCGAUGAAGUAUUUCGGUAUGUAAAGCUCUAUCAGCAGGGAAGAAAAUGACGGUACCUGACUAAGAAGCCCCGGCUAACUACGUGCCAGCAGCCGCGGUAAUACGUAGGGGGCAAGCGUUAUCCGGAUUUACUGGGUGUAAAGGGAGCGUAGACGGCAAUGCAAGCCAGAUGUGAAAGCCCGGGGCUCAACCCCGGGACUGCAUUUGGAACUGUGUAGCUGGAGUGUAGGAGGGGCAGGCGGAAUUCCUGGUGUAGCGGUGAAAUGCGUAGAUAUCAGGAGGAACACCGGUGGCGAAGGCGGCCUGCUGGACUGCAACUGACGUUGAGGCCCGAAAGCGUGGGGAGCAAACAGGAUUAGAUACCCCUGUAAC